RNAcentral lists this ribosomal RNA (779 nucleotides) under uncultured bacterium. RNAcentral's name for it is "bacterial SSU rRNA". It matches the Rfam family "Bacterial small subunit ribosomal RNA", at positions 1 to 752 of the family's 1533-position model. The record is from RNAcentral.
CCUAUCGCCAAUUCCCUUGAGUUGAUCAUGGCUCAGAAUGAACGCUGGCGGCGUGCUUAACACAUGCAAGUCGAGCGAGACCAGGGGGGCAACUCCCUGAGUCGAGCGGCGGACGGGUGAGUAACACGUGGGUAACCUACCCGGAAGUGGGGAAUACCUCGGGGAAACUCGAGCUAAUACCGCAUGACAUCUUCGGGACGAAAGUCCUGACGAUCAAAGCGGGGUCGCAAGACCUCGCGCUACCGGAUGGGCCCGCGCCCGAUUAGCUAGUUGGUGGGGUAACGGCUCACCAAGGCAACGAUCGGUAACCGGCCUGAGAGGGCGAUCGGUCACACCGGAACUGAGACACGGUCCGGACUCCUACGGGAGGCAGCAGUGGGGAAUCUUGCGCAAUGGGCGAAAGCCUGACGCAGCAACGCCGCGUGGAGGAUGAAGGCCCUUGGGUUGUAAACUCCUGUCGGCUGGGAAGAAAUCGUUCGCGGCUAACACCCGCGGACGUUGACUGUACCAGCAAAGGAAGCCCCGGCUAACUCUGUGCCAGCAGCCGCGGUAAUACAGAGGUGGCCAGCGUUAUUCGGAAUUAUUGGGCGUAAAGGGCGCGUAGGCGGCCAUGCGUGUCUUCCGUGAAAUCCCUCGGCUCAACCGAGGACGUGCGGAAGAAACUGCAAGGCUCGAGUCCGGAAGAGGGGGGCGGAAUUCCCAGUGUAGCGGUGAAAUGCGUAGAUAUUGGGAGGACACCGGUGGCGAAAGCGGUCCCCUGGGCCGUACUGACGCUGAGC